GGUCCCAUGGUCUAGUGGUCAGGAGUCAGGACAUUGGACUCUGAAUCCAGUAACCCGAGUGUUCAAAUCUCGGUGGGACCU
This is a non-coding RNA of Panicum virgatum (switchgrass), 81 nucleotides long. The record is from the annotation of a RefSeq genome assembly. Lineage: Eukaryota; Viridiplantae; Streptophyta; Magnoliopsida; Poales; Poaceae.